AACGAACGCUGGCGGCGUGCUUAACACAUGCAAGUCGAGUGCACAGUUUGCGUAGCAAUACGGAGAUGGGUGCACGGCGCACGGGUGCGUAACACGUGGGCAAUCUGCCCUCCGAUGGGGAAUAACCCCGCGAAAGCGGGGCUAAUUCCGCAUAACAUUCCCUGGACUUCGGCUUGGGGAUUCAAAGCCGUAAGGCGUCGGAGGAGGAGCCCGCGCCCGAUUAGCUAGUUGGUGAGGUAAUGGCUCACCAAGGCAAUGAUCGGUAGCUGGUCUGAGAGGAUGGCCAGCCACACUGGAACUGAGACACGGUCCAGACUCCUACGGGAGGCAGCAGUGGGGAAUCUUGCGCAAUGGGCGAAAGCCUGACGCAGCGACGCCGCGUGGGGGAUGAAGCUUCUCGGAGUGUAAACCCCUUUCGACUGGGACGAAUGCCUCGCAAGAGGAGUGACGGUACCAGUAGAAGAAGCCCCGGCUAACUACGUGCCAGCAGCCGCGGUAAGACGUAAGGGGCCAGCGUUGUUCGGAAUUACUGGGUGUAAAGGGUUCGUAGGCGGUGCGGCAAGUCGGGAGUGAAAUCUCUGGGCUUAACUCAGAAGCUGCUUCCGAAACUGCCGUGCUCCAAUGUGGGAGAGGCGCGUGGAAUGCACGUGUAACGGUGAAAUGCGUAAUAUCUGCAGGAAACCCCUGGGGAAAACGGGCGCUGGACACAACUGACGCUGUAGAAGAAAACUAGGGGAGAAACAAGAUUAGAUACCCUGGGUAUCCUAGCCCUAACGAUAAGGACUUGGGGUGGCGGCCCUUCGGGGGUGUGUCCCGGAACUAAAAGUUAAAUCCUGCACCUGGGGAGAAGGUCGCCAAAAA
RNAcentral lists this ribosomal RNA (861 nucleotides) under uncultured bacterium. RNAcentral's name for it is "bacterial SSU rRNA". It matches the Rfam family "Bacterial small subunit ribosomal RNA", at positions 28 to 894 of the family's 1533-position model. The record is from RNAcentral.